UACGUAGGGUGCAAGCGUUGUCCGGAAUUAUUGGGCGUAAAGAGCUCGUAGGCGGUCUGUCGCGUCGGCUGUGAAAACCCGGGGCUCAACCCCGGGCCUGCAGUCGAUACGGGCAGACUAGAGUGCGGUAGGGGAGACUGGAAUUCCUGGUGUAGCGGUGAAAUGCGCAGAUAUCAGGUGGAACACCGGUGGCGAAGGCGGGUCUCUGGGCCGUAACUGACGCUGAGGAGCGAAAGCGUGGGGAGCGAACAGG
This 253-nucleotide ribosomal RNA is filed under the name uncultured bacterium. Its description in RNAcentral is "partial 16S ribosomal RNA". It matches the Rfam family "Bacterial small subunit ribosomal RNA", at positions 524 to 776 of the family's 1533-position model. The record is from RNAcentral.